GGACAACCUGCCCUUAGGACGGGGAUAAACCCGGGAAACUGGGUAUAAUACCCGAUAGGUCUCGAUUGCUGGAAUGCAUCGAGAUUUAAAGCUCCGGCGCCUAAGGAUGGGUCUGCGGCCUAUCAGGUAGUAGUGGGUGUAGCGUACCUACUAGCCUACGACGGGUACGGGUUGUGAGAGCAAGAGCCCGGAGAUGGAUUCUGAGACACGAAUCCAGGCCCUACGGGGUGCAGCAGGCGCGAAAACUUUACAAUGCUGGCAACAGCGAUAAGGGAACCUCGAGUGCCAGGUUACAAAUCUGGCUGUCGAGAUGCCUAAAAAGCAUUUCAUAGCAAGGGCCGGGCAAGACCGGUGCCAGCCGCCGCGGUAACACCGGCGGCUCGAGUGGUAACCGUUAUUAUUGGGUCUAAAGGGUCUGUAGCCGGCCGGAUAAGUCUCUUGAGAAAUCUGGCAGCUUAACUGUCAGGCUUUCAGGAGAUACUGUCUGGCUCGAGGCCGGGAGAGGUGAGAGGUACUUCAGGGGUAGGGGUGAAAUCUUGUAAUCCUUGAAGGACCACCAGUGGCGAAGGCGUCUCACCAGAACGGACCUGACGGCAAGGGACGAAAGCUAGGGGCACGAACCGGAUUAGAUACCCGGGUAGUCCUAGCCGUAAACGAUACUCGCUAGGUGUCGGCCACGGUGCGACCGUGGUCGGUGCCGUAGGGAAGCCGUGAAGCGAGCCACCUGGGAAGUACGGCCGCAAGGCUGAAACUUAA
RNAcentral lists this ribosomal RNA (756 nucleotides) under uncultured archaeon. RNAcentral's name for it is "bacterial SSU rRNA". It matches the Rfam family "Archaeal small subunit ribosomal RNA", at positions 102 to 859 of the family's 1478-position model. The record is from RNAcentral.